This 466-nucleotide ribosomal RNA is filed under the name uncultured bacterium. RNAcentral's name for it is "partial 16S ribosomal RNA". It matches the Rfam family "Bacterial small subunit ribosomal RNA", at positions 28 to 507 of the family's 1533-position model. The record is from RNAcentral.
GAUGAACGCUGGCGGCGUGCUUAACACAUGCAAGUCGAACGAUGAAGCCCAGCUUGCUGGGUGGAUUAGUGGCGAACGGGUGAGUAACACGUGAGUAACCUGCCCUUGACUCUGGGAUAAGCCUGGGAAACUGGGUCUAAUACUUGAUAUGACUUCUCAUCGCAUGGUGGGGGGUGGAAAGAUUUAUUGGUCUUGGAUGGACUCGCGGCCUAUCAGCUUGUUGGUGAGGUAAUGGCUCACCAAGGCGACGACGGGUAGCCGGCCUGAGAGGGUGACCGGCCACACUGGGCCUGAGACACGGCCCAGACUCCUACGGGAGGCAGCAGUGGGGAAUAUUGCACAAUGGGCGCAAGCCUGAUGCAGCGACGCCGCGUGAGGGAUGACGGCCUUCGGGUUGUAAACCUCUUUCAGUAGGGAAGAAGCGAGAGUGACGGUACCUGCAGAAGAAGCGCCGGCUAACUACGUG